Molecule: ribosomal RNA, 429 nt
Filed under: Bacteroidota bacterium
Lineage: Bacteria; Pseudomonadati; Bacteroidota
Description: Bacteroidetes bacterium partial 16S ribosomal RNA
Rfam family: Bacterial small subunit ribosomal RNA
Source: RNAcentral
UAGGGAAUCUUCGGCAAUGGGGGGAACCCUGACCGAGCAACGCCGCGUGAGUGAAGAAGGUUUUCGGAUCGUAAAGCUCUGUUGUUAAGGAAGAACGAGUGUGAGAAUGGAAAGUUCAUACUGUGACGGUACUUAACCAGAAAGGGACGGCUAACUACGUGCCAGCAGCCGCGGUAAUACGUAGGUCCCGAGCGUUGUCCGGAUUUAUUGGGCGUAAAGCGAGCGCAGGCGGUUAGAUAAGUCUGAAGUUAAAGGCAGUGGCUCAACCAUUGUAGGCUUUGGAAACUGUUUAACUUGAGUGCAGAAGGGGAGAGUGGAAUUCCAUGUGUAGCGGUGAAAGGCGUAGAUAUAUGGGGGAACACCGGUGGCGAAAGCGGCUCUCUGGUCUGUAACUGACGCUGAGGCUCGAAAGCGUGGGGAGCGAACAGG